AGCGAACGAGCGAGCGAGCAGGUGGAGCAGGAAAGGAAAGACAUAGUUCAUAACUCUGCCUCUAUGACACCAACAAGCAGAGCUUCGUCUUCCAGAAGGCAUCUUGGUGCAGUCAACAAGUACCAGCUGUGUCACCGCGGUCUCUGCAUGAGCAAACAAUUACAGGACAGAGCCACACCUGGAUUUGUGCCUGCAAGUGAGGCUGCUCAGACAGACCACAUGACUGAUCCAACAAAGAUGGCUUCACACCACAAAUGGAAGAGCUUUAUUAUUCAGCAGAUUCAAAGCACUGCCAAAGAAUUUUGAAGGCUACACCCCUACUAGAGAUGAAGAUUGUUCAGAGUACCUAUUUUUUCUUCACAACAGAAUACUGUAUGCAGAAUCCAGUAUAGUGAAGCAGUG
This 402-nucleotide long non-coding RNA is filed under the name Gallus gallus (chicken). Its description in RNAcentral is "long non-coding RNA NONGGAT001205". Lineage: Eukaryota; Metazoa; Chordata; Aves; Galliformes; Phasianidae. The record is from RNAcentral.